UAUAAAUACUACAAAUAAUUUCAAGUAGUAAUAAAUAAAGUUUCUAUAAAAAUCCUCUGCUGGUUGACCAAAAAGGAUUCAAAUCUUUUGUAAUAAACAACAUUUAAAAGUUAUAAAUAAAAAUUUAGUAUACAAGUUCCUUUCAAUUCCUGUUGACCUCAUCAAAUUAAUAAGAUUGCAGUAACCUUCUUUAACUCAUUUUAUAAGAAAAUUAGGAAAUUACGAGAAACUUCUUUUUACCUCCCCUCGUGCGUGUGGUGAUGGGAUGGUUUUCCUCUACGGCUCUACAUUAAUUCCACAACUACAAAUAUAUAAAUUGUUCUUAAUGAUUGGUGAGCCUAAAAUUAUAAUCCCUCCCCUUGUACUCUAACGACAAAUCAUAUAACAGUAAACCGAAUAUUAAAAUGAGAAAUCGUUAUUAAAAUAAUAUCACACUACCCACCACUCUCUCUCAAGGACGGUUAAGAGCAUCAGCUACGAAAACUGCUUCCCGUCUUCCUUCACCAAACCCUCACCAUCGGUCGCUCUCUUCUUCAUCUUGAAGCCUAAGCCAACCUAGCUCAAUGUCUCAUUCUUCUUCUAUUAACCUUCUUCAUUACCAUUACCUCCCUUCAGGGCUUAACCAAUCUUCCUCCCGGUUCUGUCUCACUGCUCCAUCUUCAUAUCGGUGGUCUAGUCCCGAGGAAGACUGCUCCUGCUUAGCCAUGCCCACCACAACCCUCCCUCGCUCUAUCUCUCCCUUCAAUGUCCCUCAUAGUGUUAGGACGAAAAAGCCAAAUGGGCAGCAGAAAAAGGAAGAAAUAGAGAAAGAGGUAUGGGAAUCAAUUUUAAAGCAGUUUGCAUAUUUAGGCUUAUAUCUAGACAAACAUCAAGGGAUGUUGUUAUAAAUCUACAUACUAAUAUAUACAUAUAUCAUGGUAUUGUAGGUGCCCAAUUACGUUUCCGAUUUAAUAUUAUCUAUGAAAUUGUUUCAUGAAAUAUACUGUCCCAUGAAUGGCACUAUAUAUGAUCAAAAAUAAGCAGACAAAAAGUUGUGGUAUUUCUACAUCUAUCUAUUAUUAUAAAGUAAGGUUCUCUCUCCUGUGAGAGCGCCACCUCAGAUUCCACAUAGAUAAUUCAUGGGUUCAGGAGCUGACACGUGUCCUCGGUUUUCGUUUUGAUUAUUUUGUUGUGUGUAUUGUUAAUGGGCCUCGAUCUCCAAUUGUUUGGUUUUCUUUGGGCUGUAACAUCUUUUAUUUAUUUGUGGGCUACGAGACACAAUAUUUGCUCUGUUAAAAAAAAAGAAAGUAAAAGGUCGUCUUCUUCAAUCGAUUUCUUAAAAUCCGAUUAGGUCAAACUCUCAUGGAGGUUCUAGGAGGUUUUCUGUAUCAAAUAUUUGUAUCAAAUCUCUCUGUUGGUUUCCUUCAUGUCGUUCCGUCUCCGAUUCAACGCCUAUGAUACGUUACAUGAUUAAGUGGCUCAUCGUCAUUUACGGCCAUCUUGGACCCACACCAUCUCAUUCAAUACUUCGUAACUCCCUCCAAGUCGGUGAAACUUUACCUAUAAAAAGGCAGUAUUCGUUCCAUAAUCAUCAUCCUCACCAAUCCUAACACAAUCAAAAUUUGGUUCUUAGUAACGUCAAACGCGGUGGUGAGCUCAUCGGUGUGGAUAUGCUCCUCCUCGACUCCAAGGCGACACUCAUGCCAGGAUCGUCACCAUCUCACCACCUACAGACGGCACUUAAAGGCGGGUUCUAUGCGGCUUUGAUGUCACUAGGUGUAAUCAAAAUUUUAGUCUGUCGGACUCUCCUCUAUUGAUAUGGUUGAGUGAUUCAACCAGUUUUGAUUAGUUAACCGAACCGGUUUCCUCAAUUCCAGAAGAACACUUCAGGUUUCGAAAUCAAAAUCAGCUGCUUGGCCUAGCCAACACAAAUACCCAGCUUCUAGUGAUGUUUCUGGGACGUUGAGUAUGUUUGACUCAGAUGCUGUAUCAUUCCAUAGCCACCUGGACGGCUAGCAUAAGUCCCACAAUUGAAAAGAGGCGUCUGUUCCUGAAUGCCACAUCUGGGAGACAACUUUAUUUUGACAAGGAGACUAAUGCAGAGGAAACCUAUUUUACAAGCUGGUCUCUCAAGACACUGGGAACACAUCAUCAGCUUCACUGCUGAGGGGUUAAUCCAAGGUUGAGCAUGUGACCAUAGCUGAACUAAACGAGUUUAUCCUCACUCCCAGCCUCAGGUUGUACAAUAAUAUUUAGUAUGAUUGUAUUUUGCAUGUGAUUAUGUUAAUGUAAAAUGUAGAGGUUGAAUUUGUCUGCCCCAUGAAGGUCACUGGAUUUAAUAUGGAUAAAGGCUGGUGCUAUGUCUCUUGCUCCAGAUGUACAAAGAAGCUUCAGCGGACGGUCUCAUCUUUUACUUGGCAACCUGCAGUAACACCAAUGCAGUUGGUUUCCUUCGAUAUGUUGGACCCUAAAAUGAGGUCCCAUAGACACAUCAGCAACUAACAUACAUUUUAAACAUUUUAUUUUAUGGAUCGUGUGGAAACAACUAUUGCUGAUGAGAUUGCUGAAAGUCUAUUUGUUGAUUUCAAUGGGAAAAAAUGCAUAUCUUGGUACGUGCCUACCGUAACAAAUGGUUGGCAAGACUUUCACCUUCCAGGUCAGAGUAAGCAGCUACAAUUUCGCUGCCAAUCACCAAACCUUCACUAUAUCACGCAUCUUGAACGAACGUGACCGUCUGCCACUCUCUGAGAUGGCAACGAUGAUCAUGGCGAUGAUAUGCUCGGGAAUAUCUCAGUGCUUACUAAGGUGGACACUGAUGGUGACGACUGUGAGUAAGCACCAACUAUAGGAAUUACUUCUACUGGUGUCCACACCAAUAAGCCUCUCGCAACAGCAACUUCCAAGGUUGCCAAGAAGGCAUGGGUCGCAUAGGCGAAGAUCAUGAAGUCUCUCUACCCACUAUUUUCUGUUUGAAUAAUGUUUCGGCAUCAAUUUUUAAAAUAUGUUGCAUCUGGUAAAGUUUCUUUAAAAUAAAUAAUUUCUUAACCAUCUUAUGAAUUCCGUUUGACUUCUUA
Molecule: long non-coding RNA, 3053 nt
Organism: Brassica napus (rape)
Lineage: Eukaryota; Viridiplantae; Streptophyta; Magnoliopsida; Brassicales; Brassicaceae
Exons: 7
Source: RefSeq, a predicted model, not a curated record